GUUCCAUGCUGGGAUUCUUCAGGAACAGAAUAAUGGAGCUGCCCAUUCCCCAUUUCCCAGGCUCUGUGGAACAGAAUCAACUGCAGCAUCCAGCUCUUCACCAAGGGGCACUGGUGCAAAACAGCCAUAGUUAAUGUUCAACUUCAUUGCGCUUGCAGUAAAAAGGACACUCUCCUAUCAUCACACAGGAAGUAGAGAUAAUUGAAGGUGCCUCAUAGCAAGCCACACCAGGUUCAACGUGCCCAGCAUAGUCUUCUUUUCAAAGUCUUCAACAGCAGAAUACUUUCCUACUGUCUGCUCUCUGGAGAUACAGAAACUGAUUUUCAUACAUGGGAAAUAUGACCUCUAUUCUUCAAAUGAAAUGUGGUUACUCCCUUUGGGUAUUAUUUGUUUAUUUUCUGAGUAAGAUUUUCCCUGCCAUUUUAACCAUAAUUUCUGGUUCUUUUUUAUUAUUCAGAAAUACUAUCUACUGUUUCUACAUUGCCAUAUCAUAGCACAAUUUAACUGCAUUGAACUGAAUUAUCGGAAUCUACACCGCCAUAUAAUGAAGUUCAGUGCAGUAAAACUACAGUAUGUUAUGAAUCUGCAUUAUAUUGUAGGUGAGACCUAAGUCUUCUGUAUCAAUUUAAUAUUUUCUGAUCAAAACAAUGUCCACAGCAUGUAAAACAAGAAUUUGUAUAAAACAACUUCUCUGAGUAAGCUGGGGGAAUAAAUGGUUUUGUUCUCUU
Anolis carolinensis (green anole) is the source of this 728-nucleotide long non-coding RNA. RefSeq lists it as uncharacterized. NCBI's taxonomy places the organism in Eukaryota, Metazoa, Chordata, Lepidosauria, Squamata, Anolidae. The record is from RefSeq and is a predicted model, not a curated record. The transcript is spliced from 2 exons.